Molecule: small RNA, 693 nt
Filed under: Oryza sativa Japonica Group (Japanese rice)
Lineage: Eukaryota; Viridiplantae; Streptophyta; Magnoliopsida; Poales; Poaceae
Description: sRNA Os08g0392201
Source: RNAcentral
GCCGCCGGAGGUGUCCUGCAGCAGCACGGUGAGGAAGCUGGGGUCGGAUUGCCGGGUCGUGCCCAUCGUCGCCUCUAGCUCCGGGCACGGCCGGUAGUAGUUCGCCGCCCCGCCCAGCCCGUCCUUGCACCCGGCGUCGAGGCCGAGGUACCCCGCGGGGAGACCCAGCGCCUCCGACAGCAGCUCGAACAGCCAUUCCCCGAGCCGCCGCGGCGUACUCCUCAGCCACGCCCCUGCACGGCGGCGGGAUCUCCUCCGGCGAAGGCCCCUCCGGCGCCAUCUCCAUGAACAGCGUGUCGCGCCAGUUGGCCGCCGGCGGCCGGAACAGGUCGUAGUUGGAGCUGAACCGAACCUUGCUGCCGACGUCCCUGGUGUAGUAUGGCGCCUUUGCCUCCAGGGGCUCCUCGUGGAAGUACCGCACCGCUGCGAGCAUCGCAUCCGUGAGCUCCUUGGCGACGUCGUGGUUGACCACCUGGAAGAAGCCGACCGUCUCGGUGGCCACCCUGACCUCGGCAACCACCCUGCCACGCACUACCGGCACCUAUAGUGGCGACACAUAUUUGAUGUUUUGUAGUAGUGAGGGGGUCGGGCUGGUGGUGGAAGAAGUCGGGGACGGUGGUGACGCCAGCAUCGACGAGUCUCUUGACGCCGGCCUUGGUGUCGUCGAAGGCCUGGAGGUCGCGGAGGCGGUCG